AUUGAACGCUGGCGGCAGGCUUAACACAUGCAAGUCGAGCGGAGAGAGGUAGCUUGCUACUGAUCUUAGCGGCGGACGGGUGAGUAAUGCUUAGGAAUCUGCCUAUUAGUGGGGGACAACAUUUCGAAAGGAAUGCUAAUACCGCAUACGUCCUACGGGAGGAAGCAGGGGAUCUUCGGACCUUGCGCUAAUAGAUGAGCCUAAGUCGGAUUAGCUAGUUGGUGGGGUAAAGGCCUACCAAGGCGACGAUCUGUAGCGGGUCUGAGAGGAUGAUCCGCCACACUGGGACUGAGACACGGCCCAGACUCCUACGGGAGGCAGCAGUGGGGAAUAUUGGACAAUGGGCGCAAGCCUGAUCCAGCCAUGCCGCGUGUGUGAAGAAGGCCUUAUGGUUGUAAAGCACUUUAAGCGAGGAGGAGGCUACUUUAGUUAAUACCUAGAGAUAGUGGACGUUACUCGCAGAAUAAGCACCGGCUAACUCUGUGCCAGCAGCCGCGGUAAUACAGAGGGUGCAAGCGUUAAUCGGAUUUACUGGGCGUAAAACGCGCGUAGGCGGCUAAUUAAGUCAAAUGUGAAAUCCCCGAGCUUAACUUGGGAAUUGCAUUCGAUACUGGUUAGCUAGAGUGUGGGAGAGGAUGGUAGAAUUCCAGGUGUAGCGGUGAAAUGCGUAGAGAUCUGGAGGAAUACCGAUGGCGAAGGCAGCCAUCUGGCCUAACACUGACGCUGAGGUGCGAAAGCAUGGGGAGCAAACAGGAUUAGAUACCCUGGUAGUCCAUGCCGUAAACGAUGUCUACUAGCCGUUGGGGCCUUUGAGGCUUUAGUGGCGCAGCUAACGCGAUAAGUAGACCGCCUGGGGAGUACGGUCGCAAGACUAAAACUCAAAUGAAUUGACGGGGGCCCGCACAAGCGGUGGAGCAUGUGGUUUAAUUCGAUGCAACGCGAAGAACCUUACCUGGCCUUGACAUAGUAAGAACUUUCCAGAGAUGGAUUGGUGCCUUCGGGAACUUACAUACAGGUGCUGCAUGGCUGUCGUCAGCUCGUGUCGUGAGAUGUUGGGUUAAGUCCCGCAACGAGCGCAACCCUUUUCCUUAUUUGCCAGCGAGUAAUGUCGGGAACUUUAAGGAUACUGCCAGUGACAAACUGGAGGAAGGCGGGGACGACGUCAAGUCAUCAUGGCCCUUACGGCCAGGGCUACACACGUGCUACAAUGGUCGGUACAAAGGGUUGCUACCUAGCGAUAGGAUGCUAAUCUCAAAAAGCCGAUCGUAGUCCGGAUUGGAGUCUGCAACUCGACUCCAUGAAGUCGGAAUCGCUAGUAAUCGCGGAUCAGAAUGCCGCGGUGAAUACGUUCCCGGGCCU
This 1359-nucleotide ribosomal RNA is filed under the name uncultured bacterium. Its description in RNAcentral is "bacterial SSU rRNA". It matches the Rfam family "Bacterial small subunit ribosomal RNA", at positions 28 to 1381 of the family's 1533-position model. The record is from RNAcentral.